Molecule: ribosomal RNA, 253 nt
Filed under: uncultured eukaryote
Lineage: Eukaryota
Description: partial 18S ribosomal RNA
Rfam family: Eukaryotic small subunit ribosomal RNA
Source: RNAcentral
UGGUGGAGCGAUUUGUCUGGUUAAUUCCGAUAACGAACGAGACUCUAGCCUGCUAAAUAGGCGACGGAUUUUCACGGUGCGGCUUCGGCCGUGCCUUCAACUGGCCCGGGAUGAUCGUGCCGGAUCAGGCCGUGUCGGUCGUCGGGGCAACUCGGCGGUCGGCGCGGUCCCGGUCGGUCGCUCGGGUCGCGUCCGUCGCGUCUCUUCUUAGAGGGACAAGCGGCGUCCAGCCGCGUGACAGUGAGCAAUAACA